AGUUUGAUCAUGGCUCAGAUUGAACGCUGGCGGCAUGCCUUACACAUGCAAGUCGAACGGCAGCGGGCCUUCGGGUGCCGGCGAGUGGCGAACGGGUGAGUAAUGCAUCGGAACGUGCCAUUGAGUGGGGAUAACGUAGCGAAAGUUGCGCUAAUACCGCAUAUUCUGUGAGCAGGAAAGCAGGGGACCGCAAGGCCUUGCGCUCUUUGAGCGGCCGACGUCAGAUUAGCUAGUUGGUGAGGUAAAGGCUUACCAAGGCGACGAUCUGUAGCGGGUCUGAGAGGAUGAUCCGCCACACUGGAACUGAGACACGGUCCAGACUCCUACGGGAGGCAGCAGUGGGGAAUUUUGGACAAUGGGGGCAACCCUGAUCCAGCCAUGCCGCGUGAGUGAAGAAGGCCUUCGGGUUGUAAAGCUCUUUCGGCCGGGAAGAAAUCGCAUGGGUGAAUACCCUGUGUGGAUGACGGUACCGGAACAAGAAGCACCGGCUAACUACGUG
This 499-nucleotide ribosomal RNA is filed under the name uncultured bacterium. Its description in RNAcentral is "bacterial SSU rRNA". It matches the Rfam family "Bacterial small subunit ribosomal RNA", at positions 10 to 507 of the family's 1533-position model. The record is from RNAcentral.